This 91-nucleotide transfer RNA is filed under the name Actinoplanes sp. NBRC 14428. RNAcentral's name for it is "tRNA-Pro". The record is from RNAcentral. Lineage: Bacteria; Bacillati; Actinomycetota; Actinomycetes; Micromonosporales; Micromonosporaceae.
GCCGUUGGUGGUCGAGGUCGCGGGCGACGACGGCUGGGUACCGUGGACCGAGGUCGAGGGCUUCGGCCGCUCCGAGCCGUUCGACCGGCAC